Molecule: ribosomal RNA, 253 nt
Filed under: uncultured bacterium
Lineage: Bacteria
Description: partial 16S ribosomal RNA
Rfam family: Bacterial small subunit ribosomal RNA
Source: RNAcentral
UACGGAGGGUGCAAGCGUUAUCCGGAUUUACUGGGUUUAAAGGGUGCGUAGGUGGAUUGGUGAGUCAGUGGUGAAAUACUUUCGCUUAACGAAGGAACUGCCAUUGAUACUACCAGUCUUGAAUACAGUGGAGGUGGGCGGAAUGCGCCAUGUAGCGGUGAAAUGCUUAGAUAUGACGCAGAACACCAAUUGCGAAGGCAGCUUGCUACACUGUUAUUGACACUGAGGCACGAAAGCGUGGGGAUCAAACAGG